GACGAACGCUGGCGGCGUGCUUAACACAUGCAAGUCGAACGAUGAUGCCAGCUUGCUGGUGGAUUAGUGGCGAACGGGUGAGUAACACGUGAGCAACCUGCCCCUGACUUCGGGAUAACCGCGGGAAACCGUGGCUAAUACCGGAUAUGACGCGCUAUCGCAUGGUGGUGUGUGGAAAGAUUUAUCGGUUGGGGAUGGGCUCGCGGCCUAUCAGCUUGUUGGUGGGGUGAUGGCCUACCAAGGCGACGACGGGUAGCCGGCCUGAGAGGGUGACCGGCCACACUGGGACUGAGACACGGCCCAGACUCCUACGGGAGGCAGCAGUGGGGAAUAUUGCACAAUGGGCGCAAGCCUGAUGCAGCGACGCCGCGUGAGGGAUGACGGCCUUCGGGUUGUAAACCGCUUUCAGUAGAGAAGAAGGCCUUCGGGUUGACGGUACCUGCAGAAGAAGCGCCGGCUAACUACGUG
Molecule: ribosomal RNA, 468 nt
Filed under: uncultured bacterium
Lineage: Bacteria
Description: partial 16S ribosomal RNA
Rfam family: Bacterial small subunit ribosomal RNA
Source: RNAcentral